AAUCUACUCCUUCAGUUCGGAAUUGCUUGUCUCAAAUAUGGAUGUAUCUAGAACUAAAAUACAUCUAGAUAUAUCCAUUUUUACGACAAGUAAUUUCGAACGGAGGGAGUACGAU
Triticum urartu is the source of this 115-nucleotide non-coding RNA. Lineage: Eukaryota; Viridiplantae; Streptophyta; Magnoliopsida; Poales; Poaceae. The record is from Rfam.